GCGUGUGUGCGGCUCUUGGGGGCUUUUCCCCAAGGAGGGAGAAGGGCAGCCCCUCUCCCUCCUUGGGGAAAAGCCCCCAAGAGCCGCACACACGC
RNAcentral lists this microRNA precursor (95 nucleotides) under Podarcis lilfordi (Lilford's wall lizard). Lineage: Eukaryota; Metazoa; Chordata; Lepidosauria; Squamata; Lacertidae. The record is from RNAcentral.